GACGAACGCUGGCGGCGUGCCUAACACAUGCAAGUCGAACGGGACCAGGGGCAACUCUGGUUCAGUGGCGGACGGGUGCGUAACACGUGAGGAACAUGACUUUCGGCGGGGGAGUAGCCGGCCCAACGGCCGGGUAAGUACCGCGUACGACCUGUUGGGGACGAUCCCCGACUUGGUGAAAGCAGCAAUGCGCCGAAAGAGUGCCUCGCGGCCUAUCAGCUAGUUGGUGGGGUAAGUGGCUCACCAAGGCGACGACGGGUAGCUGGUCUGAGAGGAUGAUCAGCCACACUGGGACUGAGACACGGCCCAGACUCCUACGGGAGGCAGCAGUGGGGAAUAUUGGACAAUGGGCGCAAGCCUGAUCCAGCAAUGCCGCGU
This 378-nucleotide ribosomal RNA is filed under the name uncultured bacterium. RNAcentral describes it as "bacterial SSU rRNA". It matches the Rfam family "Bacterial small subunit ribosomal RNA", at positions 28 to 402 of the family's 1533-position model. The record is from RNAcentral.